RNAcentral lists this transfer RNA (72 nucleotides) under Camelus bactrianus (Bactrian camel). It matches the Rfam family "tRNA". Rfam says of the family: Transfer RNA (tRNA) molecules are approximately 80 nucleotides in length. The record is from Rfam by way of RNAcentral. RNAcentral also lists the same sequence under 2 other names. Lineage: Eukaryota; Metazoa; Chordata; Mammalia; Artiodactyla; Camelidae.
GAGGGUAUAGCUCAGAGGUAGAGGGCUUGCUCACCAUGCAUGAGGUCCUGGGUUCAAUCCCCAGUGCCGCCA